This 253-nucleotide ribosomal RNA is filed under the name uncultured bacterium. RNAcentral's name for it is "partial 16S ribosomal RNA". It matches the Rfam family "Bacterial small subunit ribosomal RNA", at positions 524 to 776 of the family's 1533-position model. The record is from RNAcentral.
UACGGAGGGUGCGAGCGUUGUUCGGAAUUACUGGGCGUAAAGGGCGUGUAGGCGGUGCUAUAAGUCAGAUGUGAAAGCCCAUGGCUUAACUGUGGAAGAGCAUUUGAAACUGUAGUACUUGAGUAUGGGAGAGGGGAGUGGAAUUCCCGGUGUAGAGGUGAAAUUCGUAGAUAUCGGGAGGAACACCGGUGGCGAAAGCGACUUCCUGGACCAAUACUGACGCUAAGGCGCGAAAGCGUGGGGAGCAAACAGG